AUGUCACUUAAAUGGUUGAAGGUGUAC
Molecule: small RNA, 27 nt
Filed under: Bombyx mori (domestic silkworm)
Lineage: Eukaryota; Metazoa; Arthropoda; Insecta; Lepidoptera; Bombycidae
Description: ovarian small RNA-12650
Source: RNAcentral